Molecule: long non-coding RNA, 1162 nt
Filed under: Homo sapiens (human)
Lineage: Eukaryota; Metazoa; Chordata; Mammalia; Primates; Hominidae
Description: non-protein coding lnc-FYTTD1-5:1
Source: RNAcentral
CGAGUUUCCAGCUCCACAACCUAAGACAUCAGAGGCAGCAUUGGUUCCUCACGUAGAGUCCAGCUCCGGGACCCUCAUAUUUGAACUGCAGGGCCAUCUCAUCCCUGGAUCUCCAGCUGCACCACACUCAAAUUAGAACAACAUCAGCUCCUCCCCAGGUCUCCACCUGCACAGCCCUCGAAUGGGAACGUCAGCUCCUCCCCGGGUCUCCAGCUGCAGGGCCCUAAAACUAGAACAUCAGCUCCCGCCUGGGUCGCCAGCAGCACCACCCUCAAACUGGAACAUCAGAUCCCCAUGGGUCUCCAGCUGCAGGGCCCUCAAACUGGAACAUCAGCUCCCCACCAGAUCUCCAGCUGCACGGACCUCAAACUGGAACAUCAGCUCCCCGCCGGGUCUCCAGCUGCACUGCCUGCAAACUGGAACAUGAGCUCCCUGCCGGGUCUCCAGCUGCAUGGCCCUCAAACUGGAACAUCAGCUCCCCACCAGAUUGCCAGCUGCACGGCCCUCAAACUGGAAUAUCAGCUCCACCCCGGGGCUCCAGGUGCACAGCCCUCAACCUGCAACAUCAGCUCCCCACUGGGUCUCCAGAUGAACGGCCCUCAACCUGCAACAUCAGCUCCCCACCGGGUCUCCAGAUGCAUGGCCCUCAAACUGGAACAUCGGCUCCCCACCGGGUCUCCAGCUGCAUGGCCUUAAACUGGAACAUCAGUUCCCCCCGGGCAUACAGCUGCAUGGCCUUAAACUGGAACAUCAGCUCCCCGCCCAGGUCUCCAGAUGCAUGGCCCUCAAACUGGAACAUCAGUUCCCUGCCGGGUCUCCAGCUGCACGGCCCUCAAACUGGAACAUCAGCUCCCUGCCAGGUCUCCAGCUGCAUGGCCCUCAAAUUGCAACAUCAGCUCCCAUCAGAGCCUCCAGCUGCAUGGCCAUCAAACUGGAACAUCAGCUCCCCCGCGGGUCUCCAGCUGCACAGACCUCAAACUUGAACAUCAGCUCCCCGCCGGGUCAUCAACUGCAUGGCCCUCAAACUGGAACAUCAGCUCCACCCCUGGGUCUCCAGUAGCACGGCCCUACAACUGGAACAUCAGCUUCCCCCUGGGUCUCCGGCUGCACAGCCCUACAACCGGAACAUCAGCUCCCUGCCGGGUCUCCAGCUGCACGGCCC